GACAGAGGUCCCGAGCGUUAGGCGGAAUCACUGGGCUUAAAGCGUGUGUAGGCGGAUUUGUAAGUACCUUGUGAAAUCCCACGGCUCAACCGUGGAACUGCCUGGUAUACUGCUUAUCUUGGGCCAUCUAGGGGCUACCGGAACAAGUGGUGGAGCGGUGAAAUGCGUAGAUAUCACUUGGAACGCCAAUGGUGAAAACAGGUAGCUGGGGAUGUGCCGACGCUGAGACACGAAAGCCAGGGGAGCGAACGGG
This 253-nucleotide ribosomal RNA is filed under the name uncultured bacterium. RNAcentral's name for it is "partial 16S ribosomal RNA". It matches the Rfam family "Bacterial small subunit ribosomal RNA", at positions 524 to 776 of the family's 1533-position model. The record is from RNAcentral.